This 486-nucleotide ribosomal RNA is filed under the name uncultured bacterium. RNAcentral describes it as "bacterial SSU rRNA". It matches the Rfam family "Bacterial small subunit ribosomal RNA", at positions 28 to 518 of the family's 1533-position model. The record is from RNAcentral.
GACGAACGCUGGCGGCGUGCUUAACACAUGCAAGUCGAGCGGUAAGGCUCCUUCGGGGGUACACGAGCGGCGAACGGGUGAGUAACACGUGAGUAAUCUGCCCUUCACUUCGGGAUAGCUUCCGGAAACGGAAAUUAAUACCGGAUACGACCAGCCUCUGCAUGGUGUGUUGGUGGAAAGUUUUUUCGGUGGAGGAUGUGCUCGCGGCCUAUCAGCUUGUUGGUGAGGUAAUGGCUCACCAAGGCUUCGACGGGUAGCCGGCCUGAGAGGGUGACCGGCCACACUGGGACUGAGACACGGCCCAGACUCCUACGGGAGGCAGCAGUGGGGAAUAUUGGACAAUGGGCGGAAGCCUGAUCCAGCAACGCCGCGUGAGGGAUGACGGCCUUCGGGUUGUAAACCUCUUUCAGCUCCGACGAAGCGCCCCAAUAGGGUGGUGACGGUAGGUGCAGAAGAAGGACCGGCCAACUACGUGCCAGCCGCCGC